AGUUGGUGAUGUGGGCAAUCCCGAAGAAGAGCCUUGAAGCAUUCCCAAGCAUGAUAAAGGUUUUCAUCAGGCUUCUGUUUGAAGCUCACUAUUUCACUAUGAAGUCU
Capsicum annuum is the source of this 107-nucleotide non-coding RNA. The record is from Rfam. Lineage: Eukaryota; Viridiplantae; Streptophyta; Magnoliopsida; Solanales; Solanaceae.